UACGAAGGGGGCUAGCGUUGUUCGGAAUUACUGGGCGCAAAGCGUUUGUAGGCGGUUAUAUAAGCCAGUGGUGAAAGCCCAGGGCUCAACCCUGGAAUUGCCAUUGGAACUGUAUAGCUAGAGAAUGUUAGAGGAAAGUGGAAUUCCUAGUGUAGGAGUGAAAUCCGUAGAGAUUAGGAGGAAUAUCGAUGGCGAAGGCAGCUUUCUGGGACAUUUCUGACGCUGAGAAACGAAAGCGUGGGUAGCAAACAGG
RNAcentral lists this ribosomal RNA (253 nucleotides) under uncultured bacterium. RNAcentral describes it as "partial 16S ribosomal RNA". It matches the Rfam family "Bacterial small subunit ribosomal RNA", at positions 524 to 776 of the family's 1533-position model. The record is from RNAcentral.